Bubalus bubalis (water buffalo) is the source of this 768-nucleotide long non-coding RNA. RefSeq lists it as uncharacterized. The transcript has 3 exons. Lineage: Eukaryota; Metazoa; Chordata; Mammalia; Artiodactyla; Bovidae. The record is from RefSeq and is a predicted model, not a curated record.
CCACUAUGGAGGUGCCCAAGGCACAGAGGAGCCCCGUCCACAGGAUCACCUGGUUAUGCCACUUUCGGACGCCCCAGUCCCGAAGCUGGUAGUAACGGAGAAUGCAGAUCCAGGCGGCUGGGAGGAGAGGAAUUGGGGACGCGGGUUCCACCUCUGGUCCCAGCAGAUCCCACCUGCUGCCGGGGACAAAACCCGCGGGUGCGCCACAACUCCUGAGCCUGCUGCAACUACUGAAGCCCAAGCACCUAAAGCCGACAUUCUGCAGCCAGAGCAGCCACCACAAGGAAGAGUCCCCGCUCACCCGCUCACCGCAGCUAGAGAAAGCCCGCAGACAGCAGCCAGGACCCAGCACAGCCUAACAUGAGUCAAUAAACAGAAGAACACAGACACACUCACACGGUCCAGAUGCCAGCAAUAGCCCAGAAGGCCAGGCACAUGGGCAGCAGAGACAAGUAUCCCCACAUGCCGGGGUCUGCAGGGGAGGAGAGGGGAAGGGACUGAGGUCAACACUGCCUCUGCGUCUCUGUCUCGGAACAGCUCUCGGCUUCCUGGCUUCCUCCUUUCUCACUACUCAGGUGCCUGGGCCCUGGCACCCUCCUGCGUCCCCAGAACCCGGGAGUCCAGGCCCCCGGCCCGUCUGCCCUCAGACCCAGGGAGUGUAUCCUCCCUGAGAUGCAGAAGUGCCAGCCACCCGCUCCCUCAGCUCCCCACCUCUUUUGAUUUUUUAAUAAUUGAAAUAAAUUUCACAUGAUUAACCAUUUCACUUUA